GGGUACUUCCUGUUGUAACCAAGCGCGAAUUAGCUUAUCGGCAAUAUAAAGACGGAGAAGGAUAAGGACGCGGAGAGAAAUCACCACAUAAAUAUGUAUUUUGCACCUAGCAGCCGCUUUGAAAGAGGCACAAGCUCUUACGGUGAAAUUUGAGGGUUUAAUGCCAAUAAACCUGAAAAAUCAUCGGUGUCAUCCUUCAAUCAAGGGGGUAUGCUACAUUGCUGAGGGCCAGUGGUGGUGGUGCUGGUGGUGGUAUAAACCUCUUUGCGUGUGCUGUGCUCCUCUGGGAAUUGGUUUACGUAACCAACAAUCAUGCACAGAUGACUGACCAACAAGUGUGUGUCACGUGAGUGAUUUUGCUUUACUUUGAGCCCUAUAGCAGUGUCAGUGAAGUGAAAUGUCUUUCAAGAUUAUUGUCAAGGUUGACCUUGUCUGGAGGUCUGUUUUGGGGGAAUCCUUUGAAAUCUGCCUUCUCCUGCUGUUUCAAUACUUCACACACACAUAUGAUCGGUGUCCCUGCUUCACUAAUCUCAGGGAGCCCAAGCUUUGAAAAUGUAAAGAAUCUUCUGAAUCCUAUGCUAUUGUCCUGUUUCACUGUUGUUGACUGGUGGAUCCACCAAUGGCUUGACGGUGCAUGACAAAAGGGCUGAACAAAGAAAUGCACUCUGAUAUAGAUACCUGAGAGUGGAGACAAGCCGGUAUACUGACUGGGAGCCACAUAAAAGGUUGCAGCAUUCACUCGCCCACAAACACCAUUGUCACAUGUUUAGUUAUUUUGAGUUGCAGUCACUUAAAUUAUAACACACUGUAACUCUUCUUACCUGAAACCUGGGGUAGGCAGAGAGGUCUAUGCUGCUGACCUUGGGUUUAAUAUCUAAGGUGUCUAUAUCAACCUAGACAACUUAAAUUGAACAAUUAAUACUUUUCUUGUUUUACCCUGUUGGCUUAGUGAUCAGUCUUUUAACACUUUGUUUCAGCUGUAAUCAGCACUUGGAAAUUGUCGUUUAGUCAGUUUUUUUUCCUUUUGGAGCCAACAAAAAUUUUAGUCUUAGAUCUCAGAAAAGUACAAAAAAAUAAAUCGUCUUUUUGAACUUGGUUCAAACAAUUAAGCACAGUGCAUAUUUGCUUUUUUGGUAAGUCACUUCUUUGUUGCUUGAAAACCAAAAACUGACUCUUUUGUUUACUCACUAAUUUUAGAAUGAAAAACUAAAUCUUGUGCUGAACACAAUGAGAAAAAUGAACUCAAAAAACUUUCCUUUUUUUACAUUGAUGAUAAUUUUUUUGCAAUGAAAAUGUUUAUUAAUGUUUACUGAUACAUAAAGACAGGAAUGGAUAUUGGUUGCUGAAAGGCAUGUGAGUACGUGGAAUAUAUCUGCCUCAGAUGGUUUUCAAUAGAAUUCUGAAGCUUUUCUUCUCCUGAGGCCCACUCUCCUGUUUUCUGACAUCACUUGUGUUCUUCUCACAGCCUUGAGUGACCUUGCUGGUCUUUUUGCGGAAAAAUCUGCUCACUUUUUUGACAAAGCUCACGUUUUUUUUAGAUUUCGCCAGCUUUGCUUUCAAUGUCCUGGCAGCAGCUUCUUCAAAGGCCACUGGGUUGGACGCCACAGCAGACAGCAGCUCCUCUGCAGAUCCA
Amphiprion ocellaris (clown anemonefish) is the source of this 1633-nucleotide long non-coding RNA. NCBI's taxonomy places the organism in Eukaryota, Metazoa, Chordata, Actinopteri, Pomacentridae. The record is from Ensembl.